This 253-nucleotide ribosomal RNA is filed under the name uncultured bacterium. RNAcentral describes it as "partial 16S ribosomal RNA". It matches the Rfam family "Bacterial small subunit ribosomal RNA", at positions 524 to 776 of the family's 1533-position model. The record is from RNAcentral.
GACAGAGGGUGCAAGCGUUGUUCGGAGUUACUGGGCGUAAAGCGUGCGUAGGCGGUGUCUUAAGUUUGUUGUGAAAUCUCCCGGCUUAACCGGGAGGGUGCGGCGAAUACUGAGAUGCUGGAGUGCCGGAGAGGUAAGCGGAAUUCCUGGUGUAGCGGUGAAAUGCGUAGAUAUCAGGAGGAACACCUGCGGUGUAGACGGCUUACUGGACGGUAACUGACGCUGAGGCACGAAAGCGUGGGUAGCAAACAGG